Molecule: ribosomal RNA, 483 nt
Filed under: uncultured bacterium
Lineage: Bacteria
Description: partial 16S ribosomal RNA
Rfam family: Bacterial small subunit ribosomal RNA
Source: RNAcentral
AUUGAACGCUGGCGGCAGGCCUAACACAUGCGAGUCGAGCGGAUGAAGGGAGCUUGCUCCUGGAUUCAGCGGCGGACGGGUGAGUAAUGCCUAGGAAUCUGCCUGGUAGUGGGGGAUAACGUCCGGAAACGGGCGCUAAUACCGCAUACGUCCUGAGGGAGAAAGUGGGGGAUCUUCGGACCUCACGCUAUCAGAUGAGCCUAGGUCGGAUUAGCUAGUUGGUGGGGUAAAGGCCUACCAAGGCGACGAUCCGUAACUGGUCUGAGAGGAUGAUCAGUCACACUGGAACUGAGACACGGUCCAGACUCCUACGGGAGGCAGCAGUGGGGAAUAUUGGACAAUGGGCGAAAGCCUGAUCCAGCCAUGCCGCGUGUGUGAAGAAGGUCUUCGGAUUGUAAAGCACUUUAAGUUGGGAGGAAGGGCAGUAAGUUAAGACCUUGCUGUUUUGACGUUACCAACAGAAUAAGCACCGGCUAACUUCGU